AUUUUUGUACAAUGUUCUCCAUUUCUGAAGGCAUCAGCUGAAGAUCAAAGCCUGAGAUCGAAAACCAUCAGCUCAGACAUUUGGUGUUCUAAUACCUCCCAUCUAACAGUUGACUGGCAACUACUCCAGGAAAACCCAGUCCUCUCCUCUGCCCCUCACCCCCAGACUCCUCUCUGGGAACAACAGAGUGUGUAUUUCUGACUGCAGUCUCAAGGCUAAAUCCUUAGCGUGGUUUCUGCCUCAAGUCACCUAGAGAUGACAAGAUGCAUCUUGACUAAUCAAAGUCAAAUUUGACUUGUAUUUUUA
Long non-coding RNA from Lutra lutra (Eurasian river otter), 306 nucleotides. RefSeq lists it as uncharacterized. The record is from RefSeq and is a predicted model, not a curated record. The transcript has 3 exons. NCBI's taxonomy places the organism in Eukaryota, Metazoa, Chordata, Mammalia, Carnivora, Mustelidae.